Non-coding RNA from Arachis ipaensis, 372 nucleotides. Lineage: Eukaryota; Viridiplantae; Streptophyta; Magnoliopsida; Fabales; Fabaceae. The record is from RefSeq and is a predicted model, not a curated record.
UUGGUAACAGAGCAGAACGCCUUAGGAUUAAAUCAGAUAUAUAUUUAUAUUCAAGUACUGAUAUUGAGUGGUCAGAGCAAAAUGUUAAGUUGAAUGAUGUUGAGCACAAGUUAAUAGAUCAAGGACGUCAACUAAAGGUUCAACAGAAAAAGAGUUGGUUAUACUAAAAAGACAAUUCAUCUUUGUAUAAAAAGUUGAAUCUCUCACUUCCUUCAACCUUGUCUGAGCCUGCAGAAGAUGAGCUUGGGACAGGCUCUAGUGAUGAUAAGGAUGAUAACAUAAGUGAUUGAUGUCAGGAGUAUAUGUUUUUUCUGAUUUAGAUUAAGAAAUUUUUAGGUGAAUUAGUUAGUAUAUUUUAUUUUAUUCAUGAUA